GCAAUGAUUAAUCUACAUCUAAUAUUUAGCUAUUUUAAAUACAAAAAGUACACCAAAGAUAUAACGUGCUGUGCUUUUCUACAUGUUGUUUUACAGACAAACCUGACUCUGAAUAAUUUACAGCAGCAAGGCCUUGACAUCCACAGGAUCCAAUUAGUUGAAAUCCACAUGCAAUCAGUCCACAGGAAAAAGGCACAACAGGGACAUCUCCAGAGAGACGAGAGACUAUUAGCUAGUUUCUAAAAUACAGAGGGGUGCACUGCGUAAAGAGAAGAGCAAAUGCACCACUGCUUUGACAAAAGAUGGAAUCCUUGAAAAAAAAACAAUGUGAUCCUCGUAUACAAAUACCUCAGUUACAAACCUCUGAUAAGGUUCUGCUGACUUAGUAACAGCUGUGCUUUAAAUAGCAACAGCUAUUAGAUAUAGUGUAUGAUGGUGCAGUUUAGUGUUAUACAUAGCACUAUAGUGUAAUACUGUAUAGAUAGGAUCCGGUAGGACAAUGUAAUUUUUAAGUAAUCAGUUUAAGUGCCCUCAAAAAUAAAUAAAAGCAUCUGAUGGUGAAAUGCAAAACCCAGACGAUCUGAAUGUUUGUCUUUGCUGGAGCUUAAACUUUCCAUAAAUCAAGCGAAGAACUGCACACCUUGUUAAUGUUUUCCUUCAAACCAAAGACUGUAACUACAACCUACUUUCUUCUGCUGAAAAAAAAAGAUCAUUUGAAGAAUGUUUCAGCUGUUUUUGUGCAGACAAUGAAAAGUAAACAACUAAAACAAAACUAUCAAGUCAAGUUUACAUAGCAGAACCUGUCCUAGAUGUUUUUUACAAAAUUAAUCAAAGCCAGAAACACAAUAUAAACUUAGUAUCUGAAACUUUGAUUAAAAUUCCGGGUACUUUUAUCAGUAAAGAUUGGGUCUGUGUUGGUUUAAAUUAAAAGCUCUAGAGAAAAAGGGCCAUUUCUGUCUAAGGGUGGAGUUGUUUGUGUGGUUUCCAGCCACUGGCAACAAUGGCUUGUUUCUGUAAUCUCAAAUGGAACAUUUGUUAGACAUUGUGUGAUUAUGCACUACUGAAUAAAGUGUCAUAAAAGGC
Carassius carassius (crucian carp) is the source of this 1083-nucleotide long non-coding RNA. RefSeq lists it as uncharacterized. NCBI's taxonomy places the organism in Eukaryota, Metazoa, Chordata, Actinopteri, Cypriniformes, Cyprinidae. The transcript has 2 exons. The record is from RefSeq and is a predicted model, not a curated record.